RNAcentral lists this long non-coding RNA (1201 nucleotides) under Hordeum vulgare. Its description in RNAcentral is "long non-coding RNA (HVUL_LNC003766)". Lineage: Eukaryota; Viridiplantae; Streptophyta; Magnoliopsida; Poales; Poaceae. The record is from RNAcentral.
CAAUGGCACAUAACCUGCGAACAGGGGAAGGACACCAAACCGGAUCGACGAGGAACAAAGAUUGCACAACUUCGACGCCUACUUCUUUCAAUUUUAGUUUCAUAGCCCGGUGCUUCUUCAUCAACCUCUUUAGUUGAGCCCCUGACUACACUGGUGGUUACUCAACCUUGGUGUCUUUUGGUCCUCCAUCAACAAAUUUUGCAACUUCACUAGUGGACAAUUUGUACAAAAGAAGAGAAGACAAGGGAAAUAUGUUUGGUCUUUUCACUAGUUUUCAACAAUAAAGCACACCAGAGCCAAUCAGAAAUUCAUUCACUUCAAACACUUAUAAGACACAAUAAGUCGUAAAUGAUAAAUCUUUUUGGAAUUUUUGGGUUUUGCAACUUAAACACAAAGAUGAAAAAAAUGAAAANCCACUAAUGCCAUCCCCUCACCACUCAACUCCACGUCCAAAAGCUAAAUUGUCGGUCCGCUCCCGAUACCGUUUUCACCCCUUCCACCACAACCCUCGUGCACUCUCUGCUCCCUGCCUGUACGGUUUGCUCUGUCACUGUCUCGGUCCCACAACUCGUGUUCCCCCGGAGGGCGCCACUAAAGCCGAACGCUCGCGCACCACCUAUCGGCGGAGCAGGAGCCAGGGCAGUCGGCACCGCAAUGACUAACCCACAUGAUGCGUGCACGACGCUACCUGUCGCCGGGGCCAAGGACAACCAACAAGGGAACAUGGCAUGCAACAUCAAGUCAAUGGCACAUAACCUGCGAACAGGGGAAGGACACCAAACCGGAUCGACGAGGAACAAAGAUUGCACAACUUCGACGCCUAAUUCUUUAAGGUUUUAGUUUCAUAGCAAGCUGCUUCUUCAUCAACCUCUUUAGUUGAGCCCCUGACUACACUGGUGGUUACUCAACCUAGGUGUCUUUUGGUCCUCCAUCAACAAAUUUUGCAACUUCACUAGUGGACAAUUUGUACAAAAGAAGAGAAGACAAGGGAAAUAUGUUUGGUCUUUUCACUAGUUUUCAACAAUAAAGCACACCAGAGCCAAUCAGAAAUUCAUUCACUUCAAACACUUAUAAGACACAAUAAGUCGUAAAUGAUAAAUCUUUUUGGAAUUUUUGGGUUUUGCAACUUAAACACAAAGAUGAAAAAAAUGAAAAAAAGAAAACGACAAUGAAAAGCCAAAAAGAACAAUCAAAACAAAAC